Cyprinus carpio carpio is the source of this 3281-nucleotide long non-coding RNA. NCBI's taxonomy places the organism in Eukaryota, Metazoa, Chordata, Actinopteri, Cypriniformes, Cyprinidae. The record is from Ensembl.
ACAAACUAGUGCGCAAUGACAUGCGAUGCUUCAUGGUAAAGAUGAUGAUGAAGAGCGUUUGGAUGCAUGAAUGUGCCACUUGACUUGAAAGCGCGCUGUAAGGAGUCACGGGAUGUGAGCUGCCUACCUAGACAUGUUUGGGCCAAAACUGCUGCACACUGUAAAAAGAAAAAAAAGUGUAUUAAAAUUUGAUUUCCGCCUUAAGUAAAAACAAAGUGAUGCCAAAGUUAUAAUCUGCACUUUUUCAAACAUUUAACUGAUUAAAAGGGUUUAGUUUAAAUGUAAAAAUCUCAAUGGAUGGAAACCGAGACAAAAAAAAAAUAAAUAAUAAUAAUUAAAUAAAUAAAACCUUUUGAGUUCAGCUGCCUCGGAGUGCCCCAAAAUGCUGUCUAGGUAGGCAACUCAGGUAUUGAGACACAAGCCAUGGAGGUGGACUUAACAGACACUCGCACAGUAAUCCCUCAUUAGGGGUCUGGAUGGAAGCACUAGAGUUGCUCUGCGCAAUAAGACGCUUAAAGUCUCUGCUUAACCCUUACUAUGGUGUAAGAGGUUUUAGGAAUGAUCUUGUUUACCUAAUAAGUUUCCUCAAGGAAAUGUUUUUUCUUUUUCUCUUUUUCUUUCUUUCUUUUUUUUUUUUUUACUGAGAAAAACAGCAGUCCUGAAAUUAAUUUUUCUUUCUUUCUUUCUUUCUUUCUUUCUUUCUUUCUUUUUUCUUUCUUUCUUUCUUUCUUUCUUUCUUUCUUUCUUCUGAAAGAAGUGGUGUCUAAACUAACUGAACAAUGAUUUACAAAACUACUUUCCUUUCAGGAUGUUCCAUUUGUUUUUUUUUUGUUUUUUUUUUUUGCACUGUGCAGAUCGAUCGUUGUAUGACAUUCACAAGAGCUAUAGAGAGCAGAGCAGAUGGCUCCUUAUGCUUCCGAAUCGCUUAUGUUAUCUCUAGAUCACUGGCUAAUUUGAGGUGCUGUAGUGGGUUUAUUAAAAAUGGCAUGGUGCAGUUAUGACGCAUGAUCGAAGUGGUGUCAUCUGGGGCCACUGUUCUUACUCAAUACAGCCACAUGUCUGCUCACGAAUACUGUAUGGUGAUCUACGGCUAAAAUGGAAGUGCAGUCUCAUAAUAAGUUUCCAUAAGCAAUUGGUUUCAUGAAAGACAAGCAUAAAAUGGAUUGUUCACUCAGAAAUGAAAAUUCUGUCAUCAUUUACCCUCGUGUCGGUUUCAAACCUGUAUGGAUUUCUUAUUAUUCUUGGUUAGGUUUGGAACAACAGGAGAUAUUGGCAGAAUUUUAAUUUUUUAAUGAACUAUCCCUUUAUGAAUCUGAUGGUAAGGGUAUAAUCUUGUUUAGCAAUUGUUGUUGGAAUAAUAUUGUAAGCUAAACACAGACACAUUGUGAUGGGGCAUCAAAAUAUUCAUGAAAUGUACAAUACAGCAAUUGUUGCACAAGAGGUGUGCAACGUAUUGUCAGGGCAAAGGAAUCUCCUAUCUGUACAAUAAUCAGAGCUCAGCCUGUUACUGCUGAAGUUGGAUUAAUGCCAAAGACAUCAGCCUAUCACAGCAGAGCACUGCCUAUCACUAUACAGAUCAGCCUCUCACAUCAGAGCUAUGAUUAUUGCUAUACUGAUCAGCCUAUCACAGCGGAGCUCUGUCUAUCCACUAUAGUGAACAGCCUAUCACAGCGGAGCUCUGUCUAUCCACUAUAGUGAACAGCCUAUCACAGUGGAGCACUGUCUAUCGCUAUACAGAUCAGCCUCUCACAUCAAAGCUAUGAUUAUCGCUAUACUGAUCCGGCCUAUCACAGCAGAGCUAUGAUUAUCACUAUACUGAUCAGCCUAUCACAGCGGAGCUCUGUCUAUCCACUAUACUGAACAGCCUAUCACAGCGGAGCUCUGUCUAUCCACAAUAGUGAACAGCCUAUCACAGCGCAGCUCUGUCUAUCCACUAUAGUGAACAGCCUAUCACAGUGGAGCACUGUCUAUCGCUAUACAGAUCAGCCUCUCACAUCAAAGCUAUGAUUAUCGCUAUACUGAUCCGGCCUAUCACAGCAGAGCUAUGAUUAUCACUAUACUGAUCAGCCUAUCACAGCGGAGCUCUGUUUAUCCACUAUACUGAUAGGCCUAUCACAGCGGAGCUCUGUCUAUCCACAAUAGUGAACAGCCUAUCACAGCGGAGCUCUGUCUAUCGCUAUACAGAUCAGCCUCUCACAUCAAAGCUAUGAUUAUCGCUAUACUGAUCCGGCCCAUCACAGCAGAGCUAUGAUUAUCGCUAUACUGAUCAGCCUAUCACAGCGGAGCUCUGUUUAUCCACUAUACUGAUCAGCCUAUCACAGCAGAGCUCUGUCUAUCCACUAUAGUGAACAGCCUAUCACAGCGGAGCUCUGUCUAUCCACUAUAGUGAACAGCCUAUCACAGCGGAGCUCUGUUUAUCCACUAUAGUGAACAGCCUAUCACAUUGGAGCACUGUCUAUCGCUAUACAGAUCAGCCUCUCACAUCAAAGCUGUGAUUAUCGCUAUACUGAUCGGCCUAUCACAGCAGAGCUAUGAUUAUCGCUAUAGUGAUCAACCUUUCACAGAAAAGCUCUGUCUAUCAAUUACAGUGAUCAACCUAACACUUGCUCUUCAUAUGUACUCACAAAGGUCAGGUUAUUGCUUUCUACUCACAGAAUUAAUUGAUCUAAUUUUAUAAAUAGAAAAAAAGCGAGAAUGUGGCAGACAAAUUCACAAAAAAAAAAAAAAAAAAACUCCUGAUUGUCAUUAUCUCAGCACUCAACAGGUUAAACUGGGUUACACAGUAUCUCUGCGCCUUUUAUAUUUAUCCCAGUCUUAUCAAGUCGCCUUUAUUUAUUUAGUGCUUUAUACAAUACUGAGUGUGUCAAAGCAGCUUUACAGUGUCAAACAGGAAAUUAGUUUGUCAAUAAUGCAAGUCUUGUGAAAUAUCUAGCCCAGACCUGUCUAAUCUGGGUGAGCUGUUGUUGUGUUGUUGUUAGGCAUGUCUCCACUUGGGGUGUUAGAAAACCUGCAAACAAAGCAGGAUGAUCUUCUGAUUUUCCCUCAGAUAUUCUACAACACAACCACAAGAAAAAACUUGCAGUAAUUGUUAUGCUUAAACUGAUAAAAAAAAAAAAAAAAAAAUGUUUAUAUCUUAUUCCCAAUUUAUAUCUUAUUUCCAGUUUAACAGAGAUUUCUCAUGUUGGACCGCUUUUCCUUUUGUACCUAACAGAAAAGGCAAAUAUUCUCUCACUUUAUAAAGACACAAAAGGAGAAUUGUUCUGUUUCUAGCUAUACUUGGU